RNAcentral lists this microRNA precursor (107 nucleotides) under Canis lupus familiaris (dog). Its description in RNAcentral is "mir-8834 microRNA precursor family". It matches the Rfam family "mir-8834 microRNA precursor family". RNAcentral also lists the same sequence under 1 other name. Lineage: Eukaryota; Metazoa; Chordata; Mammalia; Carnivora; Canidae. The record is from Rfam by way of RNAcentral.
AGGAGGACCAACCGCAGUGGCGGCGGCCAGCCCCGGAGCCCCCGGAGUCAGCUCCUGCAGCAACCACAGAGCUCCCCGUCUGCAGGGCUCGGAGUCUCCAUGGUGGG